CCAAAUGACUCUCAGCAACGGAUAUCUUGG
This 30-nucleotide ribosomal RNA is filed under the name Bryopteris filicina. Its description in RNAcentral is "partial 5.8S ribosomal RNA". The record is from RNAcentral. Lineage: Eukaryota; Viridiplantae; Streptophyta; Jungermanniopsida; Porellales; Lejeuneaceae.